This 834-nucleotide long non-coding RNA is filed under the name Rhinopithecus bieti (black snub-nosed monkey). RNAcentral describes it as "lncRNA (ENSRBIG00000045379.1)". The record is from RNAcentral. Lineage: Eukaryota; Metazoa; Chordata; Mammalia; Primates; Cercopithecidae.
AGGAGCUUCAAUUUCAGUUGUGAGGAAGUGCUCAAUCCCACGGAAUUUCAAAUCUAUGUUCAUUACUGAAUCUCCUACUGAGUUUCUGCUCUGAGAUAACUGACCUUGAAAGUUAAAAGAUGUCAAGUGCAAUGCAUAGUGGAAAGUGAUGGAAUGCGACUGCAGAAAAUUCACAAAGAGGAGAAGGUUUUUGUUCUAUGUGAAUUGAGAAGUAGUGGUCUGGAAACUAUUGCAAAUUAUUCUUCUACCUCUCGGCCCUUUAAAGAUAUGUUUGGCAUAUCUUGAAGAAGCAGAAACAUCACUGAAUAUCCAUCAGUGAAAAUCUAAAAAUAUGAAAACCAAGUCUUCAGAGCGGCAGCAAUGAAUCAAACCUAUUACUGAGACUUUAAGCUUCUCCAGCUGCAUGUGAAGGAGGUGUGAAAAAACGAAAGUUCAAUAAUCUAAAAAAAAGUAGUGCCUUUCCGCACUUUGUGGGAUGGUGGUGAUUGUGGAGCACACCAAGUAGUAUUCACUCAGUGGGUGAUUUUUGCAGUAGCAGUCUGAUCUAAGUCUAAAUCUCAGUCCAAAAUUAAAACUCAAGAUGUGUUUCACUGCUUCUGAGCCAACAUUUUUCUGAACUGUAUUCUCUAGCUAAGCAGCUCUAUGUCUCUGAUCAUCUUGUGAUUUUACCUUAUUUCAAAUGAAAGUCUUUAGAACAUCCCUUUUGAAAAAAAAAAAAAAAGUGUGCAAUUUUAAAACACACCUGUCUGGGUGAUUACUUCUUAUUUUCAUUACCUGCUUUGGAAAAUCACAAAUUGUCUCUUAUAUAAGAUGGAAUAGUAAAAUGGAGUGGAA